This is a long non-coding RNA of Stegostoma tigrinum, 332 nucleotides long. RefSeq lists it as uncharacterized. The record is from RefSeq and is a predicted model, not a curated record. Lineage: Eukaryota; Metazoa; Chordata; Chondrichthyes; Orectolobiformes; Stegostomatidae. The transcript has 3 exons.
CCUGCCCCGGGCGUUGUCUCGGCUGUCGAUGCGGCUGCGGCUUCGAUUCGGCGGUGGCACCUUCUGAGUGUCGGCACCUUUCCAGCGGCGUCCUAGGACCGAGCGGGGACCCAGCGGCGGAUCCCGAGAUGGCGGUGAAUGUGACCAUCGAGUAUUGCUCUGGCUGAGGCUUCCUCGCCCAUUUCCUGACUCUCGCUGAUGAAAUCCGGGAGCAGGUCCCAGGCGUCCACGUUACCGGGUUUAUUGGGCAAACAGGAAGUUUUGAGGUUUCAAUUAAUAACAAGCUGGUUUUCUCGAAGCUGGAAUCAAAUGGGUUUCCUUAUCAUAAAGAU